Fukomys damarensis (Damara mole-rat) is the source of this 105-nucleotide small nuclear RNA. The record is from Ensembl. Lineage: Eukaryota; Metazoa; Chordata; Mammalia; Rodentia; Bathyergidae.
GUGCUCACCUUAGCAGCACAUGUGCUAAAAUUGGAAAUAUGCAGAGCAGAUUAGCAUGGCUCCUGUGCCAGGAUGACACGAAUUUGUGAGGUAGUCUAUAUUUUA